This 629-nucleotide long non-coding RNA is filed under the name Volvox carteri. RNAcentral describes it as "long non-coding RNA (VCAR_LNC004210)". The record is from RNAcentral. Lineage: Eukaryota; Viridiplantae; Chlorophyta; Chlorophyceae; Chlamydomonadales; Volvocaceae.
GCCCCAGCGGGUAUGCUGUCGCGCAGCGAAGCACCCAGGCUGAUUUGCCUUGGGCCGGCAGGUUUAGUCGCAUGCAUCCGGAAGGCCAGCCCCAGGGGGUAUGCUGUCGCGCAGCGAAGCACCCAGGCUGAUUUGCCUUGGGCCGGCAGGUUUAGGUCGCAUGCAUCCGGAAGGCCAGCCCCAGGGGGUAUGCUGUCGCGCGGCGAAGCACCCAGGCUGAUUUGCCUUGGGCCGGCAGGUUUAGGUCGCAUGCAUCCGGAAGGCCAGCCCCAGGGGGUAUGCUGUCGCGCAACGAAGCACCCAGGCUGAUUUGCCUUGGGCCGGCAGGUUUAGGUCGCAUGCAUCCGGAAGGCCAGCCCCAGCGGGUAUGCUGUCGCGCGGCGAAGCACCCAGGCUGAUUUGCCUUGGGCCGGCAGGUUUAGGUCGCAUGCAUCCGGAAGGCCAGCCCCAGCGGGUAUGCUGUCGCGCAGCGAAGCACCCAGGCUGAUUUGCCUUGGGCCGGCAGGUUUAGUCGCAUGCAUCCGGAAGGCCAGCCCCAGCGGGUAUGCUGUCGCGCAGCGAAGCACCCAGGCUGAUUUGCCUUGGGCCGGCAGGUUUAGGUCGCAUGCAUCCGGAAGGCCAGCCCCAGG